UUCUGCUGCCUGCCUUUAGGA
Molecule: microRNA, 21 nt
Filed under: Mus musculus (house mouse)
Lineage: Eukaryota; Metazoa; Chordata; Mammalia; Rodentia; Muridae
Description: mmu-miR-3098-3p
Source: miRBase by way of RNAcentral